AAUUCAAUAGCCGCAAUACGUGCUAAGGUAGCAUAAUCAUUUGCCUUUUAAUUGAAGGCUAGAACAAAAGAUUUAACAUUUUAAUUAAUUUAUUAAAAUUAAAUAUUGAACCUAUCCUAAACGUAAAAAGACAUUUAUAAAAAAGAAAGACGAUAAGACCCUAUUGAACUUAACUUAAGUUAAACUGGGGCAGUAAAUCAAUUAUAACUUUAAUUUACAUAUUUAAUUAAAAAUCUUUAAAAUAAAAUAAAUCAGUUACCAUAGGGAUAACAGCGUUAUUUAUUUUAAUAGACCUUAUAUAAAAAUAAGAUUACGACCUCGAUGUUGAAUUAAUAACCUAUAUAUUGCAAAGAAUAAAAAAGGAGGUCUGUUCGACCUUUAAACAAUUACGUGAUCUGAGUUCAG
Molecule: ribosomal RNA, 405 nt
Filed under: Brettus albolimbatus
Lineage: Eukaryota; Metazoa; Arthropoda; Arachnida; Araneae; Salticidae
Description: partial large subunit ribosomal RNA
Rfam family: Archaeal large subunit ribosomal RNA (bases 266-405)
Source: RNAcentral